This 292-nucleotide ribosomal RNA is filed under the name uncultured eukaryote. RNAcentral describes it as "partial 18S ribosomal RNA". It matches the Rfam family "Eukaryotic small subunit ribosomal RNA", at positions 6 to 295 of the family's 1831-position model. The record is from RNAcentral.
GGUUGAUCCUGCCAGUAGUCAUAUGCUUGUCUCAAAGAUUAAGCCAUGCAUGUCUAAGUAUAAGCAUUUAUACUGUGAAACUGCACAUGGCUCAUUAAAUCAGUUAUAGUUUAUUUGAUGGUACCUUACUACAUGGAUAACCGUAGUAAUUCUAGAGCUAAUACAUGCACAAAGUCCCGACUUUCACGGAAGGGAUGUAUUUAUUAGAUAAAAAACCAAUGCGGGUUCUGCUCGCUUUUGUGUUGAUUCAUAAUAACUGUUCGAAUCGCAUGACUUCACGUCGGCGAUAGGU